GGCGGGGCGGCCCGGCCGGGCUGAGCGCUGGGAGCGGAUCCGGGAUGCAGCGGGCUGAGGCCCGGCCACGUCAGCACCCCGAGGGGGCUGCACCGGGAGGCGGAGGCGCCGGGCCCGGGGCAGCUGCCGCCGCCGGAGCCAUGGACCCCGCGGGGCAGCUGUUUCAGGAGCCCUCGCUCUACACAGUCAAGGCGAUUUUCAUCUUGGACAAUGAUGGGCAGCGACUCUUGGCCAAGUACUAUGAUGACACCUUUCCAUCUAUGAAGGAACAGAAGGCCUUUGAGAAGAAUGUAUUCAACAAAACCCACAAAACUGACAGUGAGAUUGCCUUUCUGGAGGGACUAACCAUUGUCUAUAAAAGCAGCAUUGACCUCUUUUUCUAUGUGGUGGGAAGUUCUCAUGAAAAUGAGCUGAUGCUGAUGGCUGUUCUCACCUGUCUCUUUGACUCUCUCAAUCACAUGCUACGGAAGAAUGUGGAGAAGCGCUCCCUCUUGGACAACAUGGACGGGGCCUUCCUGGUGGUGGAUGAGAUUGUUGAUGGCGGGGUGAUUCUGGAGAGUGAUCCACAGCAAGUGAUCCAGAAGGUGAACUUCAGGACAAUCUCAGAGCCCGCUGCAUACGGGUGGAUGACAGCCCUCUCUCUGAGCAAAGUGUUGCCCAGGUGCUUCUGUCCACACUAAUCCUGCCUGCAUGAGCCACGGGGCUGAGUCUAUGUCUAACUCAGCACUAACCACCACCUUGUACUGGGCAGAGUUCUGCAAUCUGCCAAAGAGCAAAUUAAAUGGUCCUUAUUAAAGUGAAAGACCCAGAGGACAGCGCCUGGAUAUUUCCGAUUGGAUGGGUCUAAACUACGGCUACAAAUGAUUCCUCGGCUGAUUUGAUUAGCCAUUUUCUAAUUGGCACAAUAGGUCUGACAGAAGAUUUGGGGUAGGAUGCAAGAUGGCUGACAUCAGCGGUGCCGCCCAAGAGAACUCUAAGCUUCCAUGGACACAUCCACCCAGCUGGCUUCACCCCAGUCUCAGUGACAUGAAAUUUGCAAGCUAACAGGGGAGGAGAGUUUGGGAAAAUUAACCCAUAAAUGGGCCAGAUUCUGCUCCUGUACCGGCGCAAAUCUGGAGUGACUUCAGUGCAGAAGUUUCAGAUUUGCUUUGGUAUGACUGAGAGUAAAAUCUGGCAUGAGAAUCUUAAGGAACUAUAUAAUUGCUGGGUAUUGCAGCCAGUAAUUAUUUAAGGAAUGAAUAAGAUGAUUGAUUACUGGUAUUUUCAACACCUGAAGGCUUUCUUGGAAGAGUCAGGUAGCAGCUGAAGUAGAGUAGACUGGUUUUGAAUCUUCCCUGCUGUCAGUAUUGUGGACUAAAGAACUGUCCCCUUUCUUUUCCGCACCAAUAACUCCCAUUCAUGGUACAGACCAAAGCCUGUGAGCAUUCAUUGAGAGGCUGGGCCCCUUAAACAUAGGCCGAGACUUCCAAAACUGUGUAAGGGAUUUGCUUGCCCAUUUCUCACUAAAAUGAAUGGGACAUGGGCUCCUUAGAAUUAUACUGGCUGCUUCCAAAAUAAGCCAAGAGCCAGAGCUUUGACUAUAGUAGGUGACAUUCACCCUAUGUGGAGGUCAGCAUCCAUCCCACUCAAAUGCCUUGAAAGGAACAAAAUAGGGAUGAAUGGGCAUGGAUGACUGUUUUCCCAUUAGGCUGAUAUUUGGAAUAUCAAAGCAUAUCAAUCAUACAAUGGAAAAUAAUGCAGCCCAGGCUGCAAUUAAUUAUGUAAACUCAAGCUUGCUAACCCUGGUUGUCGGCCCAUAUAUUAUUAAAGGACCUUGCUGUGUUAAGAAUCCUUUCCUCAAAACAAAUCACUACCUUUCCUUUGUCAGCGCCCCAGAUUCUAAAUAUCGAAAAAAAAAAUUAAAUUCUAAUGAAGGAGAUCUGAUUGGUUUUGAGUUGUUUCUCUCUUGUUUUGCCUUGCUUCCCAGCUUCUUCUCCAGGCUGCAAAGUUGGGGUUGGCCACACCACAUCAGAGGCCUGGAUUUAGAAAUGAACCCAUUUUCACAUUGCAAAUUAUUUUAAAAGGGGCCUUAUAAAUAUUUCUAUAUUUUGUAACUGUUUUUUCUUUUAAAAUCUGGGAUCUCCUUUAUUUUCUAUCAUCCUUUUAUCUAGUCAGUUGUGUGUUACUUAAUUUAUCAAGAGUUUGGUAUGUUUCAGUUGCUUUCUGUAAGCUGUGCAUGUCCAGCUUCUUUUAUGGUCAACAAAUAAAAUUUUAUAUCCCAAG
This is an RNA transcript of Alligator mississippiensis (American alligator), 2262 nucleotides long. It is a transcript of the gene named COPI coat complex subunit zeta 2, with no coding region annotated. Lineage: Eukaryota; Metazoa; Chordata; Crocodylia; Alligatoridae. The record is from RefSeq and is a predicted model, not a curated record. The transcript has 11 exons.